RNAcentral lists this ribosomal RNA (269 nucleotides) under uncultured bacterium. RNAcentral's name for it is "partial 16S ribosomal RNA". It matches the Rfam family "Bacterial small subunit ribosomal RNA", at positions 524 to 792 of the family's 1533-position model. The record is from RNAcentral.
UACGUAGGGGGCAAGCGUUGUCCGGAAUUAUUGGGCGUAAAGCGCGCGCAGGCGGUUAAUUAAGUCAGAUGUGAAAGGCUACGGCUCAACCGUAGAGUGGCAUUUGAAACUGGUUAACUUGAGUGCAGGAGAGGUGAGUGGAAUUCCCGGUGUAGCGGUGGAAUGCGUAGAGAUCGGGAGGAACACCAGUGGCGAAGGCGGCUCACUGGCCUGCAACUGACGCUGAGGCGCGAAAGCGUGGGGAGCGAACAGGAUUAGAAACCCGGUGU